UGGGUUCAGAACGUCGUGAGACAGUUCGGUCCCUAAUCCGUCGCAGGCCGUAGGAAAUUGGAGAAGACCUGUCCUUAGUACGAGAGGACCGGGAUGGACGUACCUCUGGUGUACCAGUUGUUCUGCCAAGGGCAUGGCGUGGGUAGCUAUGUACGGAAUGGAUAAGCGCUGAAAGCAUCUAAGCGCGAAGCCAACUUCAAGAUAAGAUUUCCCACCGCAAGGGUAAGACCCCAGAAAGACUAUCUGGUUGAUAGGUCGAAGGUGUAAGUGCAGCAAUGUAUUUAGCUUAUCGAUACUAAUAGGUCGAGGGACUUGACCAAU
RNAcentral lists this ribosomal RNA (321 nucleotides) under Clostridioides difficile. RNAcentral's name for it is "bacterial LSU rRNA". It matches the Rfam family "Bacterial large subunit ribosomal RNA", at positions 2606 to 2925 of the family's 2925-position model. Lineage: Bacteria; Bacillati; Bacillota; Clostridia; Peptostreptococcales; Peptostreptococcaceae. The record is from RNAcentral.